Astatotilapia calliptera (eastern happy) is the source of this 1632-nucleotide long non-coding RNA. NCBI's taxonomy places the organism in Eukaryota, Metazoa, Chordata, Actinopteri, Cichliformes, Cichlidae. The record is from Ensembl.
AUUACCAACUCACAGGAACAUAUCAAAUACCACGUGAUGAUGAUUAUCUCCCAUUUGUCUUGCAGAUAUAUCUUAGCCUAUAUUUCAUGUAGGUCUGGAUCUUUAAUGGAUGUUUCUGCCUGCAUGUGUAGAGGAUUGAAGUAUUUAGCAAAGAAAACACAAAGUGACCAUAUAAGAGGGUUAAAUUAUUGUCAGUAUGACUAAAAUCUUAUGUGCAAACUGACAGGUGUUUCUUACAAUGUCAAAAAUUGUAUAUAUUUCACGUAAUAUGUCUUUUAUUUCUUCUAUUUUUAACAUUUGGGAAAACUUAAGUCUGAAAUCCAAAUGAAACAUAUUUUAAUAGUGUUUGUGUCCCACACUUUGGCUGGAACACUGGCGGCUGAUCAAGGUCAGUUUUCAGUCACACACAUAUUUAUUUUACAGCUCCAACAUAUUGACACUGUUCCUGCAGUCCUCUGUAGGUGGCUAUGGUAGCACUAAGACAACACUGCCACCUAGAGGUCAAACUGAAACAUUUUUGUUUCUUCUGCAAAGUUUGUAAGAUUCAAAAGAAGAUUAAAAAAAGUAACGUUUGUUUUGUAAGAUGAACAAUGUUACUGAGGAAGAAAAGUAGGAAAAAACAGCAGCUGGUGAUAAACUGGACUCACUCAGACUGACACAAGUGCAAAAAUAUAAACAGAAUUUUAUAGUUUCUACUUGUGGCCACUUUAUUAGGUAUAAGAUGCUUGUUACAUGUUCGGCGCCUUUUUUGUCACCUGAAACUUUGGAGGCUGUGAUGUAUUUGACGUUUGUGGAAAAAUGUGCAUGUAGAGCAGCAAAAUGCGUGCGUGUGUGGGUUUCCUCUUAUAAUCUAAAGAUGUAAAAUGUAAAGACAAUAAGCUGGCCCAGGGGAUCUCCAGGCCCCAAGGUUUUAGAUGUGUCCUUGAUUCAACACAGCUGAUUUAAAUGGCUAAAUGACCUCCUCAACAUGUCUUGCAGUUCUUCAGAGGCCUGCCAAUGAACUAAUAAUUGGAUUCAGCCUGCCGAGGCCUGGAGUUGUUCUAGUUGUUUCCUGGUCUAGUUGUUUGGCUGUCACUUCAGUUUAACCCACAACUAAUUCUAUGGUUGUGAAGGAAGGUAACAACAUGUUACCUGGCCAGUAAAACAUGUCAAAAAUUAUCUUUCACCAUCAGAUCCUGAGUCGUCUAUGUGCUAAUGAAGAUGAUAUUAUUAUGUUCUGUGAAGGCUGUUCGAGGCAACAGGUAGGCCUACAGGACAAAGUCAACGUUACGAUUCACACUAGAGUUUUAGCUACUGAUCAUUUUAUUUAUCAUUAAUUCUAUUCACCUUCAGCUUUAGCUUUCAGGCCCAUCCACCAAGCUGCUGCUGACUUCCCCUAUAUGCACUGAGCAUUUAUUUUCCACUCACCAUUUUCACUUUUUCAUUCUGCAGAUGUUUACAUAUCUCAACUAUGCUAGAUAGUCUCUAUUUUCUCUUCCACUGUUUGUGUUUGUUUCUUUACACCACCUCAAAUAUUCGUGCAAGAUUGCUUCUCCUCCCUGGGCCUGGUUCCGCCAUAGAUUUAUGAAGGGAGUUUGUCCUCCCCACUGCUUGCAGGUGCUUGCUUGUAUAUAAAUAAACUUUCAAUGUGGG